UACGUAGGGUGCAAGCGUUAAUCGGAAUUACUGGGCGUAAAGCGUGCGCAGGCGGUUUUGUAAGUCUGUCGUGAAAUCCCCGGGCUCAACCUGGGAAUUGCGAUGGAGACUGCAAGGCUAGAAUCUGGCAGAGGGGGGUAGAAUUCCACGUGUAGCAGUGAAAUGCGUAGAGAUGUGGAGGAACACCGAUGGCGAAGGCGGCCGGCUGGGGGUGCCCUGACGCUGAGGCGCGAAAGCGUGGGGAGCGAACCGG
This 253-nucleotide ribosomal RNA is filed under the name uncultured bacterium. RNAcentral describes it as "partial 16S ribosomal RNA". It matches the Rfam family "Bacterial small subunit ribosomal RNA", at positions 524 to 776 of the family's 1533-position model. The record is from RNAcentral.